This is a long non-coding RNA of Carassius gibelio (silver crucian carp), 835 nucleotides long. RefSeq lists it as uncharacterized. The record is from RefSeq and is a predicted model, not a curated record. The transcript is spliced from 2 exons. Lineage: Eukaryota; Metazoa; Chordata; Actinopteri; Cypriniformes; Cyprinidae.
UUUUGUUUUUAUAGAAUAGAAUGUAAACAGAAUGAAAUAAGAACUGUAUUCAACUGGACAACACAAUAAAGUACAAAAAGAAGAAACAAGGUCAAACCAAGCAAAAGUAUCUUAAUUGAUCAGGCCAGCUGUAGCUACUCAAAACCUCUUCCACAAUAACAAAUACAUUGAUUUCUGAAAUCAAUACCACACCUGACAUCAUCUUGCAAGGUAAACUAUUGAACAACUGACGUGCCGCUUCUUUUCAGUGGAGUUACCGAAUCAAACUGUACCACAGAUUCAAGCCUGACAAAUAGCUGGCUGACCUUUGGUAUAAUCACACCUUGCAUUUGGAUGGGAUCCUGUGCAGAUAGCAUUGCCGCUAAGCUCAUCAUCAUUAAUUAUGGCUCGCCUAUCAAUAUGUAAUUAUCUCCACUCUUCAGCACUACAGGGGCAGGAGGUGGGAAUACAGCAGCUGUGCCCUUCAACAGAAGCACUUAACCUGAAUUGCUUCGGUAAACACCAGCCUGUGUGAAUGAAACAUGAGGAAAAUGCAGCCUCAGGGUUGCCCGGACCAAAAUCUGAUUGAUUAGAAGUUGCUCUUUCAUAGUUCAUGAGACUUAAUGGGGUUCUCGUUUAUGUUUCAUUCUAGUAUGAACUUCAUCUCAGAUGUUGCUCCUACACUCUUAAAGGACAAGUUCACCCAAAAAUGUAAAAUGAACUCACAAUAUGUAGAUGAUUUUGUUUUUUCGUGGAGAAAUGUAACAUUGCAUCAUUUGCUCAGCAAUGGAUGCUCUGCAGUGAAUGGGUGCCGUCAGAAUGAGAGUACAAACAGCUGAUAAAAACAUCACAAUAA